This is a long non-coding RNA of Mus musculus (house mouse), 343 nucleotides long. RefSeq annotates it as predicted gene, 41162. Lineage: Eukaryota; Metazoa; Chordata; Mammalia; Rodentia; Muridae. The record is from RefSeq and is a predicted model, not a curated record. The transcript is spliced from 3 exons.
CCACUUCAGGCAGCUCACAAUUAACUGCCUGUCACUCCAGCUCCAGAGGAGCUGACACCUCUGGCCAACACAGGCACCUGCCCUCCCAGGAACACACCCACAUGUGGACAGGUACACCUGCACACAGGUUCUGCUGUGAGGUUCCUGGACUCUGUGAGUGAGCAGAACUUCUAGAGUACAGAGUUAUCCACUGCAGCCCUGAGAUGGCCCUGAUUUUGCACUGGAACCCAUUCUUCACUUGUGCCAUCCUUGAGCUCAGCAUCACAGUCUGUCAUCAUGUGCCUGCUACAUCCUUUCCCUGUAGCCUGACCAUUGGAAUUGGAGAAGUCAGGUGCUAUACCAU